Molecule: ribosomal RNA, 302 nt
Filed under: uncultured Actinomycetes bacterium
Lineage: Bacteria; Bacillati; Actinomycetota; Actinomycetes
Description: bacterial SSU rRNA
Rfam family: Bacterial small subunit ribosomal RNA
Source: RNAcentral
AGGGAAGAAGCGAAAGUGACGGUACCUACAAAAGAAGCACCGGCUAACUAUGUGCCAGCAGCCGCGGUAAUACAUAGGGUGCAAGCGUUGUCCGGAAUUAUUGGGCGUAAAGAGCUCGUAGGUCGUUUGUUACGUCGGAUGUGAAAACCUGAGGCUCAACCUCAGGCCUGCAUUCGAUACGGGCAAACUAGAGUUUGGUAGGGGAGACUGGAAUUCCUGGUGUAGCGGUGGAAUGCGCAGAUAUCAAGAGGAACACCAAUGGCGAAGGCAGGUCUCUGGGCCAAUACUGACACUGAGGAGCG